UACGUAGGGGGCGAGCGUUGUCCGGAAUUACUGGGCGUAAAGGGCGUGUAGGCGGCUUUUUAAGUCGCAUGUGAAAUCCACGGGCUCAACUUGUGGUAUGCAUGCGAUACUGAAGAGCUUGAGUACGGGAGAGGGUAGUGGAAUUCCUAGUGUAGGAGUGAAAUGCGUAGAGAUGUGGAGGAACACCGAUGGCGAAGGCAGCCCCCUGGGUCAACACUGACGCUCAUGCACGAAAGCGUGGGUAGCAAACAGG
This 253-nucleotide ribosomal RNA is filed under the name uncultured bacterium. RNAcentral's name for it is "partial 16S ribosomal RNA". It matches the Rfam family "Bacterial small subunit ribosomal RNA", at positions 524 to 776 of the family's 1533-position model. The record is from RNAcentral.